RNAcentral lists this ribosomal RNA (326 nucleotides) under uncultured eukaryote. Its description in RNAcentral is "partial 18S ribosomal RNA". It matches the Rfam family "Eukaryotic small subunit ribosomal RNA", at positions 1470 to 1796 of the family's 1831-position model. The record is from RNAcentral.
CCCUUAGAUGUUCUGGGCCGCACGCGCGCUACACUGACGAAUGCAACGAGCUUAUACCUUGGCCGAAGGGUCUGGGUAAUCUCCAAAUUUCGUCGUGAUGGGGAUAGAUUAUUGCAAUUAUUAAUCUUCAACGAGGAAUGCCUAGUAAGCGCAAGUCAUCAGCUUGCGUUGAUUACGUCCCUGCCCUUUGUACACACCGCCCGUCGCUCCUACCGAUUGAAUGGUCCGGUGAAGCGUUCGGACCGUGGCCUUUGGACGGUUCGCCGUCUGUUGGCUGCGGGAAGUUCGUUAAACCUUAUCAUUUAGAGGAAGGAGAAGUCGUAACA